AGUGGCCAUGUCAUAAGCAGCCCUAAGGAGAGGCCCAGGUGGCAAGAAACUGAGGCUUCCAGUCCUCUGUACAUGAAUGAGCAUGGAUGGAGAUUCUCCAGCCUAGUCAGCCUUCGGGUGACUGAAGUCCUGGCAGACCUCCUAGCUGUAGUCUCUUGAGAGCUCUUGAGCCAGAGGCACCCAACUAAGCCACUCCUGGAUUUCUGAUACACAGAAACGUCCGGACCUGGAAGUGACAAAGAAUAGUUUCCAAAACUUGAAAGAAGAGGAGAUAAGAUUGGCUUUGAGAAGUUAAACUUCAAAAUCAGCACAUAUGGAUUAGAACAGAGAGAUACAAAAUCAUCUUAAAGCAGUGUUUAAGUGUCCUUCUGACUUGCUCUAAACUGAACCAAAAAUACAACUGCUUUCUUCUUAUCAAUCAGUGGUGGGAAAUACCAUGAAUGCUCUUUUUUUAAUGUGUGAAAAUCUCUCAGAAGAGUUCCUAGAACAACAAUAAGUGUUUUGCUUAUAACCAAGAGAAACUUAGUAAACCAAUAAGUGGAUUAUUAAAAAGAUAUCAAGAUUUGAUAUUCAUAAAUAAAGGAGUAUAUUACCAGAGUUUAUUAAGAACUCCCACUUGGUGUCCUAAUAAGAACUCUGGCUGCUACGUACAGUGCUGGGCAGCAUUCAUAUUCCUUGGCUGGUGGCCCCUCCUCCAUCUUCAAAGCCAGUGAAAGCAGGCUGAGUCCUUUCCCUGUUGCCAUCUCUCUAGCUUUCUGCAGCCAGGAAUGAUUCUUUGCUUUUAAGGACUCAUGCGAAUGGAUUAGACCCACUUGAAUAAUCCAGUGUAAUCUUCCCAUCUCAAGGUCCUUACCUUAAUCACAUCUGCAAAGUCCCUUUUGCCGUGUAGGUUAACAUAUUCACAGGUUCUGGGGGUUAGAAUGGCCUUUGAGGGCCAUUAUUCUACAUAUCACUGUGUGUGUGUGUGUGUGUGUGUAUAUAUAUAUAUAUAUAUAUAAGUAUAUUAUAUAACAAAUUCUGUAUAUAAAGAUAUUAACUCUACCUGUAUCAUAUAUUACAUAUUAUAAAAUAUGACAUAAUUAAAAAAUUUCUAUAUAUGUAUUGAAAAUUUAAAUUGAAAAUAAAAAUUUCUGUAUGUAUUUAUACACACACACACACACACACACACACAUAUGAAAUAGUGAAAUAUCUGAGUCUUUUUUCAUAGUUGCUUGUCACCAGUCUUACUUCUCUACUCCUUGCUCCAUACUUGUGACUUGAAUGGAAUGGCAUAUUUCUAUAUUUUCAUUUUUUCACUUGCUUCUGCCUUUAUUGAAGUGAUUAUAGCUGUUAGAUAGGCUGUGUUUAUAAGUAUUUAUGAAUAAACACCACCCCACCCCCAGCAGUAACUUAAAACUACACGGGCCUAAUUUCCCUCGUGUUUUAUCUCCCUUGUGGGGAGACCGAAAGGCUCUGCUCUGUGCUGUUCUUACUUGGGGACAACAGUGGAGGGAAAAUCAGCUCCUCAAUCUGCAAAGGCUGAGAAAAGGAAGGGAAUGUGGUGGAUUGUGCGCUCAUUCCUGAAACUUCACUUCCGGUCGCAUUUCAUCGACAAAGGCACAGCAUUUGGCCAAAUCUAAGUUCAACAUCUCACUGUAUAUUUAUGGAUAGACCUAGUGACUCCCUUUAAACAUACAUAAACAUCCUUUCAAAAGUCCACAUCCUUUAAAAUAGAACCAUAGGCUUUAUCGUGAGAAAUUGCAGUCCCCUGCUCCACUCUCUAGCAGCCACCACUUUAAAUUAUUUCAGUGAUUUCUUCCAGGAUUUACCUCCAAGUUUCUAAAUAACAUGUGUAUCAUUCUAUUUCCCGACUUUUCCAUUUUAGCCACCAAAUUUUUAAGGGUGGGGAAGGUUCAACUUAGCUCUCUUCCUCACACAUCAUGUUUACAACAUCAUGAUCCUGUAAACAUCACAUACAGCUUGAGCUAUGGUUUCACUUAUACUAUGGCUUCAUUGUCUUUCUCGUGCAUUGUCUUCUUAACAUGAAUUAAGUCCCCCCCCCCGUUUUUUUUACAUUUGCUUAGUUUUCUGUGCACCUAUUAUUAAUUUUCCCUGAGCUCUCUGACCAAGCUAUAAAACUUCUCUUAACACAUUCAGACACACUGAGCCCUUCAUUAGCUUCAUUCUGUUCUCAGAAACGUCCCUUGUUGGCCUUCCGUCCUCCUGAUCCAGCUUUGUGACAGGUUACUUUCUAAGUCUAUUUACACCCACAAUUCCUAUUCCUUUAAAGCUGCAGGUUUCUAAUCAAGAAGAGGGGAAAAAAAGACUAGAUGACUUCUGAAAUCCCUGCUCUCUGUUCUGGAACUGUGACACAGAGAUGAAUAUUAUGUGAAGCCCAAAUAAAUUCCAAGGAUUGGCUCUGCUUUGUGCCCCCUGGCUAAAGCUUCUCAUUUACCCCAGCUCGGCUACUGGGCCUGGGUCCUCACUGGUCCAUCUUAGGCUUUGGUCGCCUACUUUGACUUCUCCACUCCACAACUUUCAAGAUCUUGGUUGUCCUCUGACUUCUGUUAUCCUGGAACCAAUAACAAAAGAAGAAGAGUGAGGAGCAGCCUUAUUUUUAGGAAUUCCUGAAUUCCCAAGAUCCAGCCCUAGAAGCACUUCCAUAUUCUUGCUCCUCCUUUGUCCCAUUAGAAGCAAAAAUUAUUAGACUUUACUCAAAAAGUGGAAAAUCCAAGUCAUAGAGAAAAACAGUGUGAAAGUUAAUAUCUUGUUAUGCUCUUAUCUGGGAACUGAUUGAAUUUCUAAAAGCCCUUGAGGUGCUCCUGCUGGCAGCUGGGAUUGAAGGUUCAAAGCAGAGAAACUGAGCACGUGGGGGAAAUGCUUUUACUUUAUGAUUUACUUCUCACUCCUGACGAUGGGAUGCAAUGUGCUAGGGGGGAGUGGAAUGGGAAUAUAAAUAUUGCUAUAAUAAUGAGAAUGCUUUCAUACCUGGUGAGGCAGGGAGAAUGAUGAAAAUGGUUCUGAGACACUGAUGAAACCCAGAGUGGUGUGGUUCUGAGUGGAGAAUUUGUUAAGAAACCUGAGAAAUUUCUGCCUACUUUAGUCUACCAUCAAGGAAAUUAUCCCCCCUUAUUUUUUUUUAAACUCAUUUUCUGUUCUGUGUAGCACAACUGGAGAUUAGAAUAGAAGAGAUGUUCCUGGGGCCUUCUCUGAAAACAAUAGCCCCACCCCAACGACAGGGAAAGGAUUGAUGCUAGGAAUUACCAACUCGUAAAUGGAAAUUAAUACUGUAAUUAGCAAGGUAGGAAAAUCUAUCUUAUUGUAAAUUGUGAUACUUAUAGAUUGUGAUAUCCCCCCUGGGAUCACCAGGUUAUUUAAAAGGAAUAAAUCAGGAACCACAUUCAAGCCUAUAAGGAUGUCAGAAAUAUUCAGGGCAGACAUACACCUAAAACAGAUAAUACUUUCACCAGGGUUGUAAAACAGUGGAUAAAGUCAGUUUUUUAAAAGAUACACAUUUGUGAUUUUUGACACUUCUUAGAUGGAAAAUGUUUUCAGAUUGGCUUUUGAAUAUCAACAUUGUUACCUAGACAGCUUUCUAGCAAGCAGACUGAAGACAUUGGAUAAAAAGAUUAGUCUCACAAAAUACGAGGAGAUGAAUAUUGCAUUUCAAAUAAAAGCAGAAGUCUCCAAGGAUGAAAUAUAAACAUUUGAUAAACCUGCAGCUCUGAUAAAAAUCUAUAUAAUGGCCUUAACAUUUCUAUAGCUGUCCAAAAUAUGGAGCCUGCCUUCACAUCCAUUAACUCAUUUGGUUCUCAAGUGUGUGUGCGUGUGUACAUAGUAUGGGAAGAGGUAAAUGAGAGGAAUGUUAAAAAAAAAAAUCUUCAUUUUACAGAUGAGGAAGUGGAGCCCAGAAAGAUUCAAGCUCACACUGUCUCCCAGGUAUUAACAGACUGUGUGUAAUUAAUGUUACAUGCUCCUGAAUCAGAAUUUAAAUGGAGCCCAAAUGGAGCCCAAAUGGAGAUGCAACACAGAGAUGGCAUUCUAGCCACAGUAGUGUUGUGAUUUCAAGUUUAUUAGUUCAAGAAUGAAUCAAUGCAAGCAAUGUAGGAAAAGUACUCACCUCCCCACCUUGAAAAUUGAUUAAGGAAUAGCAGAAUUUAGUAUUGUCCCCAUUAUUAUGCCCACAUUUGACAGAUUGGUUAGAGCUCUGAUAGUUAUAGUGCAUCAUAGCCUGCCUUGAAUUGGGGCUCUACAUGAGUACGUGUCUUCCUUUCUGAACCGCGAGAGCUCACAGACCAGCAACCAGAUCUUUAAUAUGUUGUUUCCAUCCAGUGUAUAUCCCAGUGCCAGUGCUUCAUAAACAUGUAGAGUGGAAUAAACCAUGAGACACUUUGCAAUACCACCAAUUGGGUCAUGAUGUAGGCGUGCAGACUGGAAGAUUGUUGCAUCCACUUGGAGGGUUGGAGGUGUCAGAUGCCUCCCUUUUAAACCAUAUGACCUGGUUCCUGUCCUUUUUAUGCAGUUUGGCCCCAUUUCUUGGGAUGAAAUCAGUUGUAGAUGACCUCCUACUUUCAAACAGAUUGAAAAUGUGCCUGCAAGUCUAGUAACAAACUCAUGUGCUAAAAGGGAUGGUUUCCAUGUUCCAAAACUUUAAAUCCCUUAUCAGGAACACUGGGCCCUGUGACAGGGUUGUGGGAACCCUGCAAACCCCAUGAGUGAUGACCCACGUAAUAUUAAUAACCCUCAUCCCCACUCUGACCCAAACCCUGGACUCCAUCCUCAGCCAGGCUCUCAUGGAAGGACAGGCCCAGUCAGGGAUUGAUGCACAAGCUUCAGGAGCAUCUGUGGAGAAAACCUCUGCAAACUUUAAAGAGAAAUGCAUCAUGAAUGAUUCCUAGUUUGUCUAUAAAGAGGAGAAAAGAUUAAAAUAAAUGUAUAUGUAAGUAUAAACAAAAGAUAGGAGUAAAUAGAACGAAAAAAGUUUUAAUGACUUUUUCUAGCUGGUUGGAUUAUGAUUUGGGGUUUUUCUUUUCUAUUUUUUUUAAUUGGUUUAAGGUAUUCAUUGUUUAACAUCUAUAAAUACUUUUACGUUUAUUUUUAAUCUUCUUGUAAGACAUUAAAUACACUACUAUUAAGACUAAAAUCCUUUUUGGCUACCAUCCCCAAAUUCCCAGGGGUAAUCACAUUACUUUGGCAUGCAUCUUUCUGGAUUUUUUCUUAAUAUAUAUUUACACAUACAUAUGUAUGCACAUAUAAAACAGUAUUGUUUUGUUUCUACAUAGGUGGCAUCAUACAAUACAUAUUCUGCAAUUUUUGUUCCAUAUCAGUUGCAUAUAAAUGUACCUCAUUAAAAGAAAUACUGUUCCAUCAAAUGGAGAGACUACAGGUUUAGUCCCACUGAUCCUGCACUAGAAUCAUGUAAGGAGUCUUAAAAUCAAACCAAUGCCCAGGCCCCAUCCCUGGGAACUGAUGCAACUUUUUUUGCUUUCCCUAUUGCCCAAGUGUUUUAAUUUGUUACUGUUUUAUAACAAUAUCACUCUGCGUAAUCUUGCACAUAUAUGUGGGUGGUAUUCUAGGAAGAUUUUUUUUUAAGCACUUACAUUGCUUAUUGCAAUACCAGUUUACACUCUUACCACAGUAUGUGAAAAUAUCCCAUACACUGCUCUACCUUGGAUAUUAUCUAAUUUAAAAAAUUUUAAACUUUUUGCUGCUUGGAUGGAUUAAAACAAAUAGUAUGUCAUUUAUUUUCAUUCUACUGAUAAUUUUUAAGAUUUAUAUCUUUUCUUAUGUACAGUGAGAGAUUAAGGGCACAAGUUACACAGGUUUGUAUCCCAGCUGAGUUAUUUGCCUUCAGUCUAGUUGUUAAUCUCUCUGUGCCUUAGUUUGCUCACUUGUAAAAUGAAGAGAGUAAUAGUGCCUAGUUCAGAGGCUUAUUGUAAGGAUGCAAUGAUUUAAUAUAGGUAAGGUUUUAGAACAGUAUCAUCACAGAGCAAGCAUACCACAGAUGUUAGUUACUUGUUUUGGUCUUCUGUGUUUUUUUUACUAUUGUUACUUAAUCAGAAAUAUUUGGAUAAACACACACAUACAAAUUGAAGACAUAUCAUGAUUUAAAUAAGUAGCUAAUAUUUGGGAUCCCAAAGUGAUUUAAAAAAAAAAAAAUCUUGGAGUUCCCGUUGUGGCGCAGUGGUUAACGAAUCCGACUAUGAUCCAUGAGGUUGUGGGUUCGGUCCCUUCCCUUGCUCAGUGGGUUAAUGAUCCGGCGUUGCCGUGAGCUGUGGUGUAGGUUGCAGAUGCGGCUUGGAUCCCGCUUUGCUGUGGCUCUGGCGUAGGCCGGUGGCUGCAGCUCCGAUUAGACCCCUAGCCCGGGAACCUCCUAUGCCGCGGGAGUGGCCCAAAAAAUAGCUAAAAAGACAAAAAAAAAAAAAAAAAAAAAAA
RNAcentral lists this long non-coding RNA (6414 nucleotides) under Sus scrofa (pig). RNAcentral's name for it is "lncRNA (ENSSSCG00065060079.1)". The record is from RNAcentral. Lineage: Eukaryota; Metazoa; Chordata; Mammalia; Artiodactyla; Suidae.